RNAcentral lists this ribosomal RNA (538 nucleotides) under uncultured Geobacteraceae bacterium. RNAcentral's name for it is "bacterial SSU rRNA". It matches the Rfam family "Bacterial small subunit ribosomal RNA", at positions 9 to 526 of the family's 1533-position model. Lineage: Bacteria; Pseudomonadati; Thermodesulfobacteriota; Desulfuromonadia; Geobacterales; Geobacteraceae. The record is from RNAcentral.
GAGUUUGAUCCUGGCUCAGAACGAACGCUGGCGGCGUGCUUAACACAUGCAAGUCGAACGUGAUUGAGAGCUUGCUCUCAUGAAAGUGGCGCACGGGUGAGUAACACGUGGAUAAUCUGCCUGGCGAUUCGGGAUAACACUUCGAAAGGGGUGCUAAUACCGGAUAAGCCCACGGACUCUUAGGGGUUUGCGGGAAAAGGGGGCCUCUGUAUAUGCUCCUGUCGCUAGAUGAGUCCGCGGCCCAUUAGCUAGUUGGUAGGGUAAUGSCCUACCAAGKCGWCGAUGGGUAGCUGGUYUGAGAGGAUGAUCAGCCACACKGGAACUGAGACACGGUCCAGACUCCUACGGGAGGCAGCAGUGGGGAWUUUUGCGCAAUGGGCGAAAGCCUGACGCAGCAACGCCGCGUGAGUGAUGAAGGCCUUCGGGUCGUAAAGCUCUGUCAGUGGGGAAGAACCGCCGGGUGGCUAAUACCUGCCUGGUCUGACGGUACCCACAAAGGAAGCACCGGCUAACUCCGUGCCAGCAGCCGCGGUAAUAC